RNAcentral lists this ribosomal RNA (628 nucleotides) under uncultured bacterium. RNAcentral describes it as "bacterial SSU rRNA". It matches the Rfam family "Bacterial small subunit ribosomal RNA", at positions 62 to 688 of the family's 1533-position model. The record is from RNAcentral.
UCGAACGGAGUACCCUCGAAAGAGAUUUCGGUCAAUGGAGAGGACUACUUAGUGGCGGACGGGUGAGUAACGCGUGAGGAACCUGCCUUUCAGUGGGGGACAACAGUUGGAAACGACUGCUAAUACCGCAUAACGUAUUUGUGUCGCAUGGCAUGGAUACCAAAGAUUUAUCGCUGAGAGAUGGCCUCGCGUCUGAUUAGCUAGUUGGUAGGGUAACGGCCUACCAAGGCGACGAUCAGUAGCCGGACUGAGAGGUUGGCCGGCCACAUUGGGACUGAGAUACGGCCCAGACUCCUACGGGAGGCAGCAGUGGGGAAUAUUGGGCAAUGGGCGCAAGCCUGACCCAGCAACGCCGCGUGAAGGAAGAAGGCUUUCGGGUUGUAAACUUCUUUUGACAGGGAAGAGCAGAAGACGGUACCUGUCGAAUAAGCCACGGCUAACUACGUGCCAGCAGCCGCGGUAAUACGUAGGUGGCAAGCGUUGUCCGGAUUUACUGGGUGUAAAGGGCGUGUAGCCGGGCUGACAAGUCAGAUGUGAAAUCCGGGGGCUCAACCCCCGAACUGCAUUUGAAACUGUUGGUCUUGAGUAUCGGAGAGGCAGGCGGAAUUCCUAGUGUAGCGGUGAAAUG